GAUUUCUGGCUUGGUGCGCCUGGCCCGCUACCGUUAGGUAUGUGAGUGCCGGGUCGCGCCUGCCAUCCUUCUAGAGAACGUUUCUACUCUUCAUUGAGCCGGGAACGCAAUCUAGAUCUUUUACUUUGAAAAAAUUAGAGUGUUUCAAGCAGGCUUUAUGCUAUGAAUACAUUAGCAUGGAAUAAUAAUUUAGGACUUCGGUUCUAUUUUGUUGGUUUCUAGGACUGAAGUAAUGAUUGAUAGGGAUAGUUGGGGGUGCUAGUAUUCAGCGGCCAGAGGUGAAAUUCUCGGAUUCGCUGAAGACUAACUUAUGCGAAAGCAUU
RNAcentral lists this ribosomal RNA (323 nucleotides) under Allapsidae sp. RNAcentral's name for it is "SSU rRNA". The stretch from base 106 to 323 matches the Rfam family "Eukaryotic small subunit ribosomal RNA", at positions 737 to 955 of the family's 1831-position model. Lineage: Eukaryota; Cercozoa; Glissomonadida; Viridiraptoridae. The record is from RNAcentral.